RNAcentral lists this ribosomal RNA (495 nucleotides) under uncultured bacterium. RNAcentral's name for it is "partial 16S ribosomal RNA". It matches the Rfam family "Bacterial small subunit ribosomal RNA", at positions 28 to 507 of the family's 1533-position model. The record is from RNAcentral.
GACGAACGCUGGCGGCGUGCCUAAUACAUGCAAGUAGAACGCUGAAGGAGGAGCUUGCUUCUCUGGAUGAGUUGCGAACGGGUGAGUAACGCGUAGGUAACCUGCCUGGUAGCGGGGGAUAACUAUUGGAAACGAUAGCUAAUACCGCAUAAGAGUAGAUGUUGCAUGACAUUGGCUUAAAAGGUGCAAUUGCAUCACUACCAGAUGGACCUGCGUUGUAUUAGCUAGUUGGUGAGGUAACGGCUCACCAAGGCGACGAUACAUAGCCGACCUGAGAGGGGGUUCGGCCUCACUUGGACUGUGACCCGGCCCAGACUCCUUCGGGCGGCAGCCGUAGGGUGUCUUCGGCGCUGGACGGGAGUCUGACCGAGCAGCGCCGCGUGAGUGACGAAGGUUUUCGGAUCGUAACGCUCUGUUGUAGGAGAGGAACGAGUGUGAGAGUGGACAGUUCACACUGUGACGGUAUCUUACCAGAAAGGGACGGCUAACUACGUG